RNAcentral lists this transfer RNA (73 nucleotides) under Synapturanus sp. AF238. RNAcentral describes it as "tRNA-Asn". Lineage: Eukaryota; Metazoa; Chordata; Amphibia; Anura; Microhylidae. The record is from RNAcentral.
UAGAAUGAGGCUUGUUGGAUUGAGCAUUUAGCUGUUAACUAAAGUUUUGCGGGAUCGAAGCCUGUCUUUCUAG